AGCGCCCGUAAAUAAAUGAGAGGAGAGAGAGACGCCCGUUAUUCGUACGAAGCUCGCGGCUCCUUCUCUCCCUCCGACACGAAUCCCUUCUUUGCAGCUUCUCCAGAGGGCUUAUAAGACAGUGAAAAAUGGGUCUCAGCUUCACAAAGUUGUUCAGCCGGCUUUUUGCGAAAAAAGAAAUGCGGAUUCUGAUGGUUGGCCUUGAUGCUGCUGGUAAAACUACAAUCUUAUACAAGCUGAAGCUGGGUGAGAUUGUCACUACCAUCCCAACCAUUGGGUUCAAUGUGGAGACCGUAGAGUACAAGAACAUCAGUUUCACCGUUUGGGAUGUGGGUGGUCAGGACAAGAUCCGUCCGCUGUGGAGGCACUAUUUCCAGAACACUCAAGGUCUGAUAUUCGUUGUUGACAGCAACGACAGGGACCGGGUUGUGGAGGCAAGGGAUGAGUUGCAUCGCAUGCUGAACGAGGAUGAACUGAGAGAUGCUGUCCUGCUUGUGUUUGCAAACAAACAAGAUCUUCCAAACGCAAUGAAUGCUGCAGAAAUAACCGACAAGCUGGGCCUUCACUCUCUCCGCCAACGCCACUGGUACAUCCAGAGUACAUGUGCAACAUCUGGGGAAGGUCUUUACGAAGGCCUUGAUUGGCUCUCCAACAACAUCGCUAGCAAGGCAUGAAACUGCUGAGAAAGAAACCAUGGGGGCGGUGGAGGAGGAAGAAUAGUAUGUGUUAGCCUUUUGAAGGUUGUUUCUUCCCCGAAAAUUGAAUCUUAGUAUGAUUGAAUUGAACAGCAAGACAGAACAUUGCUCUAUCGAACAGCGUGUUGGAAAGCGUUUUGAACAUUUGGCUAGAAGAGAUUCAAUUCAAUAGCUUGAAGAAUGACAGAUCAAGUUCUUGACAGUAUCCGUGGAGGCUGUAGCAGGAAAAGUCUGCAAUGAUCCUCGAGAAGAAGGACCAAGUCCUGAACAGAUACAGUCACGGGAAAGAAAGAGAUGACGGAGAGAGCUAGUCACACUAAGCCAUAUGAGUUCAAAACGAUUUAUUAUUAUUUAUUCGGACACAGCUUCGAGGGAUGGUCUUGUUUUUUUUUUCACUCCUAUAAACUUUUAAUUUAUUA
RNA transcript from Tarenaya hassleriana, 1114 nucleotides. It is a transcript of the gene named ADP-ribosylation factor, with no coding region annotated. The transcript has 9 exons. The record is from RefSeq and is a predicted model, not a curated record. Lineage: Eukaryota; Viridiplantae; Streptophyta; Magnoliopsida; Brassicales; Cleomaceae.